GCCUCCGUGGCGCAAUCGGCUAGCGCGUUCGGCUGUUAACCGAAAGCUUGGAGGUUAGAGCCCUCCCGGGGGCG
This 74-nucleotide transfer RNA is filed under the name Dermacentor silvarum. RNAcentral describes it as "transfer RNA asparagine (anticodon GUU)". It matches the Rfam family "tRNA". From Rfam's summary of the family: Transfer RNA (tRNA) molecules are approximately 80 nucleotides in length. Lineage: Eukaryota; Metazoa; Arthropoda; Arachnida; Ixodida; Ixodidae. The record is from RNAcentral.